GUCGGCGUGGCGGAAUGGCAGACGCGCCAGCCUUAGGAGCUGGUGCCCGAAAGGGCGUGAAGGUUCAAAUCCUUUCGCCGACACCA
Molecule: transfer RNA, 86 nt
Filed under: Chloroflexota bacterium
Lineage: Bacteria; Bacillati; Chloroflexota
Also listed under: 1 other name
Description: Chloroflexi bacterium tRNA-Leu
Rfam family: tRNA
About the family: Transfer RNA (tRNA) molecules are approximately 80 nucleotides in length.
Source: RNAcentral